RNAcentral lists this long non-coding RNA (217 nucleotides) under Mytilus galloprovincialis (Mediterranean mussel). The record is from RNAcentral. Lineage: Eukaryota; Metazoa; Mollusca; Bivalvia; Mytilida; Mytilidae.
GUGUAGAAGUCAGUGUAGUACCUAUAUCCCCUGGCAAAGUGGGGCGUACGUUUGGUUGUGCAGGAUGUCUAAAUUCGCAGCCGUAUCCGGUCAGAAUUGGGACGCUAAAUCCAAUGCGAAAGCCACGCUCGCUGCUCUUCAAAGCACCCUUGCACUUACUCGUUGAGAUGUACGUUCAAACAUGUAUGUGGCCUGUUGUAAGGCGAAAUUCCCGUCC